GAUGAACGCUAGCUACAGGCUUAACACAUGCAAGUCGCGGGGCAGCAUGGGGGUUGCUUGCCAUCCCUGAUGGCGACCGGCGCACGGGUGAGUAACGCGUAUCCAACCUGCCCUUCACCACGGGAUAACCCGGCGAAAGUCGGACUAAUACCGUAUGUUGUCCAUUGACGGCCUCCGAUUUGGACGAAAGGCUUAGCGGUGAGGGAUGGGGAUGCGUCCGAUUAGCUUGACGGCGGGGUAACGGCCCACCGUGGCUACGAUCGGUAGGGGUUCUGAGAGGAAGGUCCCCCACACUGGAACUGAGACACGGUCCAGACUCCUACGGGAGGCAGCAGUGAGGAAUAGUGGUCAAUGGGCGUAAGCCUGAACCAGCCAAGUAGCGUGCAGGAUGACGGCCCUAUGGGUUGUAAACUGCUUUUAUGCGGGGAUAAAGGGACCCACGUGUGGGUUUUUGCAGGUACCGCAUGAAUAAGGACCGGCUAAUUCCGUG
RNAcentral lists this ribosomal RNA (490 nucleotides) under uncultured bacterium. RNAcentral describes it as "partial 16S ribosomal RNA". It matches the Rfam family "Bacterial small subunit ribosomal RNA", at positions 28 to 507 of the family's 1533-position model. The record is from RNAcentral.